CCUACGGGGGGCAGCAGUGGGGAAUAUUGGACAAUGGGCGCAAGCCUGACCCAGCAACGCCGCGUGAAGGAAGAAGGCUCUCGGGUUGUAAACUUCUUUUAUCAGGGACGAAGCAAGUGACGGUACCUGAUGAAUAAGCCACGGCUAACUACGUGCCAGCAGCCGCGGUAAUACGUAGGUGGCAAGCGUUAUCCGGAUUUACUGGGUGUAAAGGGCGUGUAGGCGGGGAAGCAAGUCAGAUGUGAAAACCAUGGGCUCAACCUGUGGACUGCAUUUGAAACUGUUUUUCUUGAGUACUGGAGAGGCAGAUGGAAUUCCUGGUGUAGCGGUGAAAUGCGUAGAUAUUAGGAGGAACACCAGUGGCGAAGGCGGUCUGCUGGACAGCAACUGACGCUGAGGCGCGAAAGCGUGGGGAGCAAACAGGAUUAGAUACCCCAGUAGUC
RNAcentral lists this ribosomal RNA (443 nucleotides) under uncultured bacterium. RNAcentral describes it as "partial 16S ribosomal RNA". It matches the Rfam family "Bacterial small subunit ribosomal RNA", at positions 338 to 795 of the family's 1533-position model. The record is from RNAcentral.